RNAcentral lists this unclassified non-coding RNA (229 nucleotides) under plant metagenome. RNAcentral's name for it is "partial contains small subunit ribosomal RNA, internal transcribed spacer 1, and 5.8S ribosomal RNA". The record is from RNAcentral.
UCUCCGUAGGUGAACCUGCGGAGGGAUCAUUACAGAGUUCAUGCCCUACCGGGUAGAUCUCCCACCCUAUGUUAUUAUUACUUUGUUGCUUUGGCGGGCCGUUAGGCUCCGGCCCGACUACCGGCCCCGGCUGGUAAGCGCCCGCCAGAGGACCCAAAACCCUGAAUAUUAGUGUCGUCUGAGUACUAUAUAAUAGUUAAAACUUUCAACAACGGAUCUCUUGGUUCCG